CAAGACAACUUUACGGAGUUGACGAUUGACGGAGCGAAGCGACGUCAAAGCGUUCAUUAAAGUCGAGUUGGCUUAGGGAUACGUUCGUUGGGUAGGGGAGCGUUCUGUAAGCCUGUGAAGGUGUGUCGUGAGGCAUGCUGGAGGUAUCAGAAGUGCGAAUGCUGACAUAAGUAACGAUAAAGCGGGUGAAAAGCCCGCUCGCCGGAAGACCAAGGGUUCCUGUCCAACGUUAAUCGGGGCAGGGUGAGUCGACCCCUAAGGCGAGGCCGAAAGGCGUAGUCGAUGGGAAACGGGUUAAUAUUCCCGUACUUGGUGUUACUGCGAAGGGGGGACGGAGAAGGCUAUGUUGGCCGGGCGACGGUUGUCCCGGUUUAAGCGUGUAGGUGUGUGUUCCAGGUAAAUCCGGUUCACUUUAACACUGAGGCGUGACGACGAGGCACUACGGUGCUGAAGCAACAAAUGCCCUGCUUCCAGGAAAAGCCUCUAAGCAUCAGGUAACACGAAAUCGUACCCCAAACCGACACAGGUGGUCAGGUAGAGAAUACCAAGGCGCUUGAGAGAACUCGGGUGAAGGAACUAGGCAAAAUGGUGCCGUAACUUCGGGAGAAGGCACGCUGACACGUAGGUGAAGUGAUUUACUCAUGGAGCUGAAGUCAGUCGAAGAUACCAGCUGGCUGCAACUGUUUAUUAAAAACACAGCACUGUGCAAACACGAAAGUGGACGUAUACGGUGUGACGCCUGCCCGGUGCCGGAAGGUUAAUUGAUGGGGUCAGCGCAAGCGAAGCUCCUGAUCGAAGCCCCGGUAAACGGCGGCCGUAACUAUAACGGUCCUAAGGUAGCGAAAUUCCUUGUCGGGUAAGUUCCGACCUGCACGAAUGGCGUAAUGAUGGCCAGGCUGUCUCCACCCGAGACUCAGUGAAAUUGAACUCGCUGUGAAGAUGCAGUGUACCCGCGGCAAGACGGAAAGACCCCGUGAACCUUUACUAUAGCUUGACACUGAACAUUGAGCCUUGAUGUGUAGGAUAGGUGGGAGGCUUUGAAGUGUGGACGCCAGUCUGCAUGGAGCCGACCUUGAAAUACCACCCUUUAAUGUUUGAUGUUCUAACGUGGACCCGUAAUCCGGGUUGCGGACAGUGUCUGGUGGGUAGUUUGACUGGGGCGGUCUCCUCCUAAAGAGUAACGGAGGAGCACGAAGGUUGGCUAAUCCUGGUCGGACAUCAGGAGGUUAGUGCAAUGGCAUAAGCCAGCUUGACUGCGAGCGUGACGGCGCGAGCAGGUGCGAAAGCAGGUCAUAGUGAUCCGGUGGUUCUGAAUGGAAGGGCCAUCGCUCAACGGAUAAAAGGUACUCCGGGGAUAACAGGCUGAUACCGCCCAAGAGUUCAUAUCGACGGCGGUGUUUGGCACCUCGAUGUCGGCUCAUCACAUCCUGGGGCUGAAGUAGGUCCCAAGGGUAUGGCUGUUCGCCAUUUAAAGUGGUACGCGAGCUGGGUUUAGAACGUCGUGAGACAGUUCGGUCCCUAUCUGCCGUGGGCGCUGGAGAACUGAGGGGGGCUGCUCCUAGUACGAGAGGACCGGAGUGGACGCAUCACUGGUGUUCGGGUUGUCAUGCCAAUGGCACUGCCCGGUAGCUAAAUGCGGAAGAGAUAAGUGCUGAAAGCAUCUAAGCACGAAACUUGCCCCGAGAUGAGUUCUCCCUGAGACUUAAAGUCUCCUGAAGGAACGUUGAAGACGACGACGUUGAUAGGCCGGGUGUGUAAGCGCAGCGAUGCGUUGAGCUAACCGGUACUAAUGAACCGUGAGGCUUAACCUUACAACGCCGAAG
Molecule: ribosomal RNA, 1823 nt
Filed under: Salmonella enterica subsp. enterica serovar Typhimurium
Lineage: Bacteria; Pseudomonadati; Pseudomonadota; Gammaproteobacteria; Enterobacterales; Enterobacteriaceae
Description: partial 23S ribosomal RNA
Rfam family: Bacterial large subunit ribosomal RNA
Source: RNAcentral